RNAcentral lists this long non-coding RNA (415 nucleotides) under Elaeis guineensis (African oil palm). RNAcentral describes it as "long non-coding RNA (EGUI_LNC008721)". The record is from RNAcentral. Lineage: Eukaryota; Viridiplantae; Streptophyta; Magnoliopsida; Arecales; Arecaceae.
GGUGCAUACCCUUGUUUGGCACUUAAUAAAAAAUUGAUGGAUAAUAUUGUAAGCAAAGUAGGCAUCAUGUAUAAGAGGCUGAAAAUUGAAAUAAUAAUUUUUCUAAUAACAUAGGGGCAUAAUGCAUUAUUUAGCAUAGUGUAAUAGUUGACGCGAACUAUUUUUAGCACGGACUAUUAGUUGGCAUGAUGCAUUAGUUGGUGCGGACAUUAUUAAGUACGAAUGCAUGGAUCAUUAUUUGGCAUAGAUCAUAAUUUGGCACGGACCAUUAUUUUUCACGGAACAUUACUUGGUACAAAAUAACUUAAUUGCCACAUACAAUUACAUUAUUUGGCUAUUAUUUUAGAAACAAGCAUAUCAUUUACAUGCAUCAUAAUAUUUACAUGUAUCACGUGAAGAUACUGCCAAACAUAAU